GCCGUCCUGUCUGACGCUGAGAGCGGCAGCCUGCGUCCAACAGCGUCCGACCGCAGCCUGCGGGGGCUCUCGGGCCAGCGGACCCCGUCUCCACCGCGGCGCUCCUCGCCGGGCCGAGGCCGUUCGCCCCGCAGAGGCCCCUCCCCGGCCUGCUCAGAAGACUCCACGCUCGCUUGCCCUGAUUCUCUCCGCCCUGCACUUUUGCCAGCUGAAGGUCCAGGGAGAAGAGCAACCUGGUCCACAGCCUGCAGGUGGCCCAGCAGCAGGCCGAGGAGCUGCCGCAGGAGCGGGAGAAGCUGCAGGUUGCCCAGGAGGAGCUGCAGCGCCAGCGGGACCGGCUGGAGGAAGAGCAGGAAGAGGCGGUGCAGAAUGGCGCACGGGUUCGCCGGGAGCUUGAGCGCAGCCAUAGACAACUAGAGCAGCUGGAAGGGAAGCGCUCAGUCCUGGCCAAGGAGCUGGUGGAGGUGAGGGAGGCGCUGAGCCGCGCCACGCUGCAACGGGACAUGCUGCAGGCCGAGAAGACCGAGGUGGCCGAGGCGCUGACCAAGGGUGAGGCUGGCCGCAUGGAGCUCGAGCUCUCCGUGACCAAGCUGAGGGCAGAGGAGGCCUCCCUGCAGGACUCCCUGUCCAAGCUGAGCGCCCUCAACGAGAGCCUUGCUCAGGACAAGUUGGAUCUGAACUGCCUUGUCACCCAGCUGGAGGAAGAAAAGGCCAUGCUGCAGGGCCGGCAGCGGCAGGCGGAGCAGGAGGCCACAGUGGCGCCGGCAGAGCAGGAGUGGCUGGAGGAGCUGUGGUUGGAGCAGGAGGUGGCACGGCAGGGCCUGGAGGGCUCCCUAUGAGUGGCGGAGCAGGCCCAGGAGGCGCUGGAGCAACAGCUCCCCACACUGCACCAUGAGCUCAGUUGGCUGCAGGAGCAGCUAGCACAGUCCUGGCCCCCUAGGAGGCAGCAUGGCGGGAGCUGGAGGCCGAGCGGGCCCAGCUGCAGAGUCAGCUGCAGCGUGAGCAGGAGGAGCUGCUGGCCCGGCGGAAGGCUGAGAAGGAACAGCUGAGUGAGGAGAUUGCUGCCCUGCAGCAGGAGCAUGACGAGGGCCUCCUCCUGGCCGAGAGCGAGAAGCAGCAGGCCUUGUCUCUGAAGGAGUCUGAGAAGAUGGCGCUGUCAGAGAAGUUGAUGGGUACACGGCACAGCCUGGCCACCAUCUCCCUGGAGAUGGAGCGGCAGAAACCAGAUGCCCAGAGCCGGCAGGAGCAGGACCGGGUAGGCCUGCCGUCGUAGGGAGGCUUGCGGAGCAGGAGCGCCCUCUCUCCACCGAGCUAUCCCGCGGUUUCCAGCAUCCCAUCUGGCGGACUCCUCUUCCUCUCUCUUCUCCUACUCUGGGUCUUCUAUCCUGGUGUUCCUUGAAUGCCUAUCUUCCUUUUGUGCCUCGGAACCUCUCACGCCUGCCACAAGUUACUCUUUUCCUUGGUAGUUCUGAACUUUAAAUAAGGUAAUGCCUGUAAGAAUGCCAUAAAUGCUCAAUAAUUGUCAUCUGUUAUUAUUUUCAUCAGUAACAUCAUCUGAAUCAUCAGUAUUGUCUGCUUUUAACAGCUGCAUUUUUCAUUGUCCAAAUAUAGUCACAUACAUUUGACCAUUUUAUAAUUAUUGAAUAAUAAAUUUGUUCUGCUAUUUUACAAUGAAAAAUAAUGCUGCAGAGAGCAUUUUUGCACAUGUAUCGUGGCAGAUGUAGGCCAGAGGCUCUUCUUUUAUCCAUCCUAUGGCCAACCUAUGAAUGUAUACACGUUUAAUGAGAUUUUGCCAGCAAUCAAAGCCUUCAGGGAAAAUGUCCCUAGCUCUUUACUACAUCAGAUCAAGGACUCUGGAUAAUUGGCAUAACAUCCUGGAAUAGCUGAAACAGAGAUAUUAUUCUCUGCUCUCCUCUGUUGUCUUUGUCUUUUCACGUCUUAAUAAAAGUGCUGGUGACAAGAGUGU
This 1966-nucleotide long non-coding RNA is filed under the name Homo sapiens (human). RNAcentral describes it as "non-protein coding lnc-NBPF1-1:13". The record is from RNAcentral. Lineage: Eukaryota; Metazoa; Chordata; Mammalia; Primates; Hominidae.